GGUUUCGCGAGAACCCGUCUGGAGGAAGCUGGAGCGCAAAACCGGGAGCCGAUGAACAAGAACGUGAUAUCAAGGCCUGGUUCCGGAGGCGAGGCAGCCAAUGAUGCCGAUGCCCAGUGGGAGUGGAACAGGGUAAAUCACGCGGUUGUCCGGGGACAGUGUGUAUC
Molecule: non-coding RNA, 167 nt
Organism: Spirochaeta africana DSM 8902
Lineage: Bacteria; Pseudomonadati; Spirochaetota; Spirochaetia; Spirochaetales; Spirochaetaceae
Source: Rfam